This 31-nucleotide non-coding RNA is filed under the name Rattus norvegicus (Norway rat). The record is from RNAcentral. Lineage: Eukaryota; Metazoa; Chordata; Mammalia; Rodentia; Muridae.
UACCCAUGGGAUUAUUACAAGGGCCAUACCU